CAGCCGCCACGGUAAUACGAAGGGGGCUAGCGUUGUUCGGAUUUACUGGGCGUAAAGGGCGCGUAGGCGGACUGAUAAGUCAGGGGUGAAAUCCCAAGGCUCAACCUUGGAACUGCCUUUGAUACUGUUUGUCUUGAGUUCGAGAGAGGUAAGUGGAACUGCGAGUGUAGAGGUGAAAUUCGUAGAUAUUCGCAAGAACACCAGUGGCGAAGGCGGCUUACUGGCUCGAUACUGACGCUGAGGCGCGAAAGCGUGGGGAGCAAACAGGAUUAGAUACCCCAGUAGUCCCUGUCUCUUAUAC
This 301-nucleotide ribosomal RNA is filed under the name uncultured bacterium. RNAcentral describes it as "partial 16S ribosomal RNA". It matches the Rfam family "Bacterial small subunit ribosomal RNA", at positions 509 to 807 of the family's 1533-position model. The record is from RNAcentral.